CCUACGGGAGGCAGCAGUGAGGAAUAUUGGUCAAUGGGCGCAAGUCUGAACCAGCCAAGUCGCGUGAAGGAUGACGGCCCUACGGGUUGUAAACUUCUUUUAUAAAGGAAUAAAGCGAGACACGUGUGCCUUGUUGAAAGUACCUUAUGAAUAAGGAUCGGCUAACUCCGUGCCAGCAGCCGCGGUAAUACGGAGGAUCCGAGCGUUAUCCGGAUUUAUUGGGUUUAAAGGGUGCGUAGGUGGGUUGUUAAGUCAGUUGUGAAAGUUUGCGGCUCAACCGUGAAACUGCAUUUAAUACUGGCGGCCUUGAGAACAGUUGAGGUAGGCGGAAUGCGUGGUGUAGCGGUGAAAUGCUUAGAGAUCACGCAGAACUCCGAUUGCGAAGGCAGCUUACCAAACUACAACUGACGUUGAUGCUCGAAAGCGUGGGUAGCAAACAGGAUUAGAUACCCGAGUAGUC
RNAcentral lists this ribosomal RNA (460 nucleotides) under uncultured bacterium. RNAcentral describes it as "partial 16S ribosomal RNA". It matches the Rfam family "Bacterial small subunit ribosomal RNA", at positions 338 to 795 of the family's 1533-position model. The record is from RNAcentral.